AAAAGGGCAAGACUGGCUGUGUGGGGAGCUGGUGAGUCCCAGGCCUGCAUGCAGAGUUCCCCCUGAGAACAGGCCUCUAGGGACCCAACAGCAGAUUCCUCAGCUGGGUUUUUCCUGCCCCUCUGAUUCCCAAUUUGUAGCGUUUGCUGGGAAAUUUCCCCAGCCAGACUGAGUUUGCACUCCAGCUCCCUAGGUGAGAUCAGUCAGCUCUGCUCUGUCUGCUAGUCCAGGGAAGCUGCCUGUGGAGUGUGUGACUUGAGGCUGGGCUAGGAGGCUACAGUUUGGAUGUUAGUGUAGUUGUAUAACCUACAUCUUGAGCCCUGCAUCCCUUUGUGGUGAGGGGAAAUCCUGGGAUCGAUGCCGCCUGAUUCCUGACUGAGGAGGAUCCCUGCCAGCGGACAGCAGCCCCUCUGCAGUGACUGAGGAGUCCAGCGUUAUCUUCGAACUUGAGGAUCAUUCAUGGAGUUUGAGGACUCAUUUCCCCCUUUUAAAGUGUCUAAAGGAAUUAAACCAAUAUUGCUGCAUGAAGACAAUUAUCAGAAGCACUAUCUUCAGCAAAUUGCACGGCAGAGCACUUUAAAGCUGCAAAUGUUUCAAUUCUUCCCGUAUCAUCUCCGUCCCAGAGGCUA
Chrysemys picta bellii (western painted turtle) is the source of this 629-nucleotide long non-coding RNA. RefSeq lists it as uncharacterized. The record is from RefSeq and is a predicted model, not a curated record. NCBI's taxonomy places the organism in Eukaryota, Metazoa, Chordata, Testudines, Emydidae.